AUACGUUCUCGGGGCGGGGUGAAACUCCCCACCGGCGGUAAUCAGGCGGCGUCGCCCGACGUCUUCUGUAGCCCGCGAGCGCCCGGUCUGCCUUUCAGGUGAGCCGGGGUCAGCAGACCUGGUGUGAUUCCGGGGCCGACGGUCAUAGUCCGGAUGAAAGAGAACGGGA
Molecule: non-coding RNA, 169 nt
Filed under: Herbaspirillum seropedicae
Lineage: Bacteria; Pseudomonadati; Pseudomonadota; Betaproteobacteria; Burkholderiales; Oxalobacteraceae
Also listed under: 1 other name
Description: FMN sequence
Rfam family: FMN riboswitch aptamer (RFN element)
About the family: The RFN element is a highly conserved domain that is found frequently in the 5'-untranslated regions of prokaryotic mRNAs that encode for flavin mononucleotide (FMN) biosynthesis and transport proteins. This element is a metabolite-dependent riboswitch that directly binds FMN in the absence of proteins.
Source: RNAcentral